AUGAAGAAAGUUGAGAAAGCCAUUGAAGAUUAUCCAAAUGAAGAUCUUCAUUAAAGGACAAGUCUAGAUACUUGAGGCUAGAGAAGUUAGCAUGUGUAUCGGAGGGUGUGACUAGUGAUUGGUUGAGGGUGCUUGGAAGACUUAGACCUGUAAAGGCAUUCAAGCUCAAGUCCAAGUAAGUUAAAAAUUCAAUUUGAAGCAGAGAUAGGUUGAUUUCACCUUCCAGGUUUUCUUGGUUCAGAUCAAGCCUUGUAACUCUGCCUGUCAUGUUAUCACAUUGGACUCCUUUCCAUGCACAACAAUCUUCUUCAUUGGACCAAGAGGAGAGCAUGUUGGAACGGUCUACCACACCGCGUUUGAAGAUUAGCAGUGCAGAUUGAUCCUUUGCAUUGCAACUUGUGCUACAAAUGCCUUUGUGGAAUGUCAUUGCAUAUAGCAAAAGUAGCAAAACAACUGAAAUUUGUAAUGUGAAGCAAACCAUGGUUGAUUGAUUAAUUUGGGGGCUUUUCUAUGGGUCGUUGCUGGUGAGUGGUGAUUCUCACUCAAUAUAUUAGCGCCUAUAUAUAACGUUCAGCCUACAAGUCUUAUGAAGUCAUCUUUUCUUUAGCUUUCAUUAUUUUUUUCAUUUAUUUUUUCUAAAACAACAUACCCUACCUAGUUGACUAUGAAGUCAUCUUCUAUUUAACUUUCAUUAUCUCUUUCAUUUAUUUUUUCUAAAACAACUACCUAAAGGAUCAAAUUAAAAAUUAGAGGACCAAAUUAAAAAAAAAUUAAAGGAUGAAAUUGAAUUAAAAAAUAAAUUAGAGAAAUAAAAAAUUAAUUUAACCUUUUUUUAUAAUUUUUAAUGCAUCAAUUCUAGCUUUAGGCAGUGACAUUUCCAAACUUACCUACCACCUUUAUUUGAGUUUGUGUAUAAUGUACUAUCAAUUGCUGUGGCUGUGGAUACUAGAAAUUUUCUAAUCAUGCAUAAUCUACAAGUUGCAACUUAGUUGUCCACUUUUUUUUCAAGUUGUCAAGUUGUCAUCUUUUCUUUAACUUUCAUUAUUUCUUCCAUUUAUUUUUUCUAAAACAAUGUAUCCUACCUAGUUGACUAUGAAGUCAUCUUCUAUUUAGCUUUCAUUAUCUCUUCCAUUUAUUUUUUCUAAAGCAACCCUACCUAGUUGACUAUGAAGUCAUCUUCUAUUUAGCUUUCAUUAUCUCUUCGAUUUAUUUUUUCUAAAACAACUGAAUCCUACGUCUAAUUCUAUAUAUGUGUGACUUGGAUGAACUUUGAAACCUGCGUGAGGUGUAUCAUGUAUGAAUAGUGAUACAGCCUUGUGACAGAUACCAAUUAAUGACUUUUACUUUAAUUUCAAGCAAUAAAUUAAUUAUUCAAGUAUAUCACAUAAUCAUAGGCAGAAUAUUUAACAUAAGUAAUUUUCUAAAAAGACAUUUUAUGUAUAGCUUUUUUAAUAAGUUAUUCAAGUAAAAAUCUAUAAUUCUUUUUAGGAAUUGUAUUCUGAUAAUUUUUUUUUAGGACUUGUAUUAUGAUAGGGAAAUAUCUGUUCAUGAAAAAAAUAUAUGCAGUUAAAUGGGGGAAAAUUUAUGCAAUGUUAAAACGGUAUACAAUGAUGUGCAGAAACCAAUGUUGUAUUCUCUUUAAGAGAGUUGGAACAAUCGAUGUGAAAGGAGACCAAACAAAUAUGAAAGCAAGGAAGAAUGUUGAAACAAUCAGUGUGAAAGGAGACCAAAAAUAUAUGAAAGAAAGGAAGGAUGACUUUUAUUAAAUUCCAUGUAGAAAAUAGUACAUUGUGGACUAGUUUAAAUUGACUGGUUGUAACGACCCAUUAUGGUUUUUUAUGAUUACUUCUGUGUUUAAUUAAUUAAUAAUUUAAUAAUUCACUAAACGUUUUUUUCCUGCAAUGAAUUACUUUUUUUGUUUGAUUAAAAUGUAUGUUAAAAAAUAUUAUUUUAUAUAUUUUUUGGCAUUUGAAAGACAAAAAAAGCUGGUUAAAAAGGUGAGAUAAUUGGUCCGACCAGCACCAUAUUUUGCACUUGAUCACUUGAUCACUUGAUUAUGAUCACUUAUUGAAGUAGACUAGCAUAGUACAGCAUCAGCGAGGAACAAUGGUGGGAAUGACAUCACUGACAAGAUCACUUCCUGAAACAUAUGAGGACAUGUGUUGCUCCUCCCUUGUCACAUUUGAUGCUGAUGUUGAUGCAAAUGAUGGGGGUGCUAUGUUACCAGAACUGUCUAAGCUAACAAUAUCUGAUAAAAGAGUUUCAGGUUCAGGCAACAUUGCAAUGAUAUCUUCCAGUUCCCUCACGACAUCUAGCAUUGAUGGCCUCUCCUCUGGAUUGUCUUGGCAACAUCUGAGGGCCAGAGUUAAAAACUUGUCCAAGCAAUCGGAUGGAUAUAACCCCAUUCUGCUGUCUAUGAUGGAAUAUAUUGUGCCAGAUUGACGAGCCGUAUUAACCUGACAUAAUAAAAUUGUGUAACAUUGUUAAUGAUAGCUUGUUUAUUGAAUUUAAUUAGAAUACGCUAACAGUAUAAGGAUUUUUUACGCCGUCAUCCAAUCAUGAGUUGUCAUGUAUAUAUGAUAAUUGAUUGACAGUGUAAAAAAAUCUUUACAUCAACAAUCAUCAAAGUUUAAUACUUGUUUAUUUAGUGUUUCUUUGUUAAUUUUAAGUGAAGCAAUUUAUUUAAGAGAAAGUUGAACUGAUUUUAGUUGUAUGAUUCUUUUUUUUAAGUUAGCUGUCAUCCUUCUUCAUUCUAUUUUUUAGUUACAUCUAAAGGUUGAGCUUUAAACGUAUUAAUAAAACAUUAUUUUCUAUUAGUUUUUUUAAAAUAAAAAAUGUUAUAUAUCACUGUUACAUCAUAGUCACCACUAUAAAGUUUACUUUCCUUAUGGGAAGUGCAGACAAAAUAUAGCUAUGUCCCUAAUAAACUUUCUAUGUUUACUAUCUGUCCGGUAAGCUUUUCAAAUUCAAAUCUUUUGAAAUACUCCACAAAAACACAACAUAAUAUUGUUGUCAGUGUCAAGUGUACAGCUAAUAUGGCAAAAUCUAUGUCUAAACUCAGAUUGUAUUUGGUUUCCAAAGAUAAGCUUUCUUGAAUAUAUUGGUGAUAAGCUCAUCUUAUAUGUGAGCUUAACAGCACAGACAUGCAAAACCAGAUCAACAGAAAUAACCAACUUAAGAAAAAGCUUAAACAGUCUAAAGAAGACAAACAGCAUGCAUAUUAGCUCAGAGACUAAGGGAUCUGACUUGACAGUUAGAUGAUACUUAUGCUAUGGCAUUAUUUAAUCGUUAUGCAUAUUCAUGCAGAACAAAUUAUUUUCUCAUUUAUAUUUGAAUUCUUAAAUAAAAUUGGUUGCAAGAUGAUAUAGAAAACGUAAGUGUAUCUAUAAACUAGAUAUCUGCUCCCAUUCUUCAUUAGAUUAUCCAAUCAGUGAGACAUGAUUUCGAUGAUGUAAACUUGAUUAAAGCCCAACCUUAGUCAAAAUCUCGUCUUGUCCUUCUAAGGAAGCUUCGACUGUUCGUUUAAUGGCCUCAAAAGUUUCAUCAGAUAAAAUGCUUUCAUAGAUAUUGCCAUAACCUCCUGGCUUUAGUUAAGAUUUUAAAUAUGUUAGUAAGAUAGCAACCUUACCAUUACAGCAGAACUCUCUCAAAUAAUAUUUAUUAUUGUUUUUUUUAUUAAUAUUCAAAUCAAGUAACCUUUUAUGUUUGUCCAUUUUAAUAAUUUUAUUAGACAAAAACACUUCAACAUAUAAUUACAAUUUACAAUUAAAUGACGCAAAUCACUUAUCAUUUAAAUAAGCACAUAAGUAGAUGACUAGAUCAGCAUCCAAAACACAAAAUGAGUUAUACAAAAGUUGCUUCUGACAUUACCACUUUUCCAAGAAGCUCUUCUCUUAUUUUAAUUAGUACUUUCUAAAAUGCUCAUCCAAACAGUCUUUUACUUCAUCUAGAACUUGCCCUUAAUCCACCAAACUUAUUUAUCUUGAGAGCUACAAACACAUAAAUCCAGUCUAGAAUACUUUCUAAAAUGCUCAUCCAAACAGUCUUUUACUUCAUCUAGAACUUGCCCUUAAUUCACCAAACUUAUUUAUCUUGAGAGCUACAAACACAUAAAUCCAGUCUAGAAUACGAUCCAGCAACCGAAAAUACUUGUGUCUCCAUGCUCUAUUGAGGACCAAAGAACCCCAAAGUCCCCAUAAGCCGACAACAAAGCCAACUCCCAUUCCAAGAUAGAGUGACGUAUUUUGAGACUCGUUUGCUCCUCCUUGCUUUGCCUUGUCAUAAUUUUCUUCCUUAGAGCAAUUCUUUGUUAAGGGAAGUCCACAAAGUUUGGGAUUCCCAGCAUAGCUCCAUGCCUCAAAACUCUGAAGCUGAGUCCCUAAUGGUAUUUGUCCAGUGAAAUCAUUGUAUGACAGGUUGAGAAAACUUAGGAAAGAAAGAUUAGAGAUGGCUGCAGGAAUUUCCCCUGAAAGAUGAUUGUUGGAGAGAUCAAGGGACUCCAAAUUUUUCAUGCCACCAAUCUUGCUUGGUAUCUUUCCCAUUAAAUUAUUUCUAGACAAGUUCAAGAACAACACUUCAGUGAGGCUAAAAAGUUCAGGCGGGAUUUCUCCGGACAGGUUGUUUGUUGAAAAGUCAAGAUUUUUCAACAGUCCAGUGUCUUCAUACCGCAACUCUCGACCUUUCCAAAACAAAUCGAGGCUGAACUGAAAAUGACUCGCAGCUCUUGCACCAUCCAUCCGAGUAAUGUUGUAGACACAAGGAGGAAUAGAUCCAGAAAGUUUGUUUUGCGAAAGAUCAAGUUGUGAUAGAGAAGGGAGACUGCAUGUUUCUGGUGGAAUCUUGCCAGCAAAUUGGUUGGACCUCAAUAUCAUCACUUGCAUGCUCUUUGGCAUCUUUGUUGGUAGAACUCCAGAAAAAUUAUUCUCUCCAAGAUUGAUGAAUACCAAUGAUGUAAAGUUUGACAUGUCUAGUGAAAACUUACCAAACAAGUUGUUCUUCUGCAGAUCCAUUUCAAUGAGUCCAUCUAACAAACCCAUUGAUGGGGGGAUUUCACCACCUAGCUUAUUGCUGUUUAGGAAAAGGAAAAGUAAACCUCUCCAAUUCUCCCAACAAUCAGGAACUACUCCAGUCAAAAGAUUAUAUGAUAAAUCCAUGUAACUCAACAAACUUUUUUCCCUACCCAAUUUAGGACACAAUGAAGGGGAAAUUGGUCCAGACAAGGAAUUGCUAGAUAUAUCAAAGAUGGAGACAUUUGUUGAUAUACGUGGGAUCCCUCCUGUGAAAUUAUUGUGAGACAUAAAUAUGUAACCAGAAUUUAGAGUGACAUUUGUUAAGUCAGCACUAAUUGCAUUGUGGGACAAGAGAAUUGCUCCAAUAUUGGAUACAAAGCUCCAAAACCUGUCUGCAUUUAUGGAUGAAAUUCCGGAGUAAGAAAUAUCUAGAAUAUCUAGUGUCCUCUGUGUGUAUAGCCAUUCUGGAAUUGUAGGACCUAGAGUUGUAUUUCUCAAGCUAAUUUCAUGAAGCUGAAAAGGAGGAAUCCAGUUGGGAUCCAAAUCAAAUGCAAAAUUUGAAUUCAAGGCAAGUGAUUCUAAAUUGAAGAGUUUGGAAAAAUGCUUUUCAGAUAGAACACCAGACAAGGAACCUCCAAUGUAUAGUCUCCUCAAGUUAAAGAGUUGGCCAAUGGUGUUUGGAAGAUUACCACUCAACAAAUCGGAGCUAACAGUUAAUUGGUUCAAGGAUGUGAGAUUUCCUAGACUUGAAGGAAUGGAACCGGAAAACAUGUUCUCAAUCAGACCAAGAUGCUGCAGAUGUUGAUGUUCCCCCAACCAAUCUGGAAUAGGUCCAGUAAAUUCAUUGUUAUCCAAUCCUAAAUAUUUAAGAUUUUGAAGAUUUAACAAACUCUUGGGUAUUUGACCCUGAAUAGUAUUGAAGCUAAGGUCAAUAUGGGAGAUGUCAUUGCUAAGAUUAAAAAUCCAAUAAGGUAAUUCAGAGUCAAAAUAGUUCCCAGACAGGUCAAGAGUCACAAGUGAAGUAAAAUUCACAAACUUGACAGAAGGGCUGAUAUUUUUUAGAUGACAACUUGCCAAUCUCAACUCCAAAAGAGAAGGAUGCAUGGCCAUAGUUUGAAGCCAGUUUGUUUCAUUUUCAAGACUAAUUAAACUGAGAUUGAGGUAUUUCAAUGAAGAAAGUUGAGAAAGCCAUUGAAGAUUAUCCAAAUGAAGAUCUUCAUUAAAGGACAAGUCUAGAUACUUGAGGCUAGAGAAGUUAGCAUGUGUAUCGGAGGGUGUGACUAGUGAUUGGUUGAGGGUGCUUGGAAGACUUAGACCUGUAAAGGCAUUCAAGCUCAAGUCCAAGUAAGUUAAAAAUUCAAUUUGAAGCAGAGAUAGGUUGAUUUCACCUUCCAGGUUUUCUUGGUUCAGAUCAAGCCUUGUAACUCUGCCUGUCAUGUUAUCACAUUGGACUCCUUUCCAUGCACAACAAUCUUCUUCAUUGGACCAAGAGGAGAGCAUGUUGGAACGGUCUACCAC
Molecule: long non-coding RNA, 6527 nt
Filed under: Glycine max (soybean)
Lineage: Eukaryota; Viridiplantae; Streptophyta; Magnoliopsida; Fabales; Fabaceae
Description: long non-coding RNA (GMAX_LNC002099)
Source: RNAcentral